This 253-nucleotide ribosomal RNA is filed under the name uncultured bacterium. RNAcentral describes it as "partial 16S ribosomal RNA". It matches the Rfam family "Bacterial small subunit ribosomal RNA", at positions 524 to 776 of the family's 1533-position model. The record is from RNAcentral.
UACGUAGGGUGCUAGCGUUGUCCGGAAUUAUUGGGCGUAAAGAGCUUGUAGGCGGUUUGUCGCGUCUGCUGUGAAAACUCAGGGCUUAACCCUGAGCCUGCAGUGGGUACGGGCAGACUAGAGUGUGGUAGGGGAGACUGGAAUUCCUGGUGUAGCGGUGGAAUGCGCAGAUAUCAGGAGGAACACCGAUGGCGAAGGCAGGUCUCUGGGCCACUACUGACCCUGAGAAGCGAAAGCAUGGGGAGCGAACAGG